AACGAACGCUGGCGGCGCGUUUUAAGCAUGCAAGUCGAGCGGCAAGGGCCUUCGGGCCCCUAGAGCGGCGGACGGGUGAGUAACACGUGGACAAUCUGCCCCCCGGCCGGGGAUAGCCCAGGGAAACCUGGAUUAAUACCGGAUGAGACGGGACGCACGAGGGUGCGAUCCGGGAAAGGCGCUGCGGCGCCGCCGGGGGAUGAGUCCGCGACCCAUUAGCUGGACGGCGGGGUAAAGGCCCACCGUGGCGACGAUGGGUAGCCGGCCUGAGAGGGUGGACGGCCACAUUGGAACUGAGACACGGUCCAGACUCCUACGGGAGGCAGCAGCUAAGAAUCUUCCGCAAUGGGCGAAAGCCUGACGGAGCGACGCCGCGUGAACGAAGAAGGCCGUGAGGUUGUAAAGUUCUUUUCGGGAGGGGGAAUGACCGUGGCAGGGAAUGGCCGCGGGAUGACGUGAAUCCCGGAAUAAGCCCCGGCUAACUACGUGCCAGCAGCCGCGGUAACACGUAGGGGGCGAGCGUUGUUCGGAAUCAUUGGGCGUAAAGGGCGUGCAGGCGGCACUGCAAGUCCGGCGUGAAAGACCCCGGCCCAACCGGGGGGGUGCGCUGGAAACUGCGGUGCUUGAGUACAGGAGGGGAUGCCGGAAUUCCAGGUGUAGGGGUGAAAUCUGUAGAUAUCUGGAAGAACACCGAUGGCGAAGGCAGGCAUCUGGCCAUGUACUGACGCUGAGACGCGAAGGUGCGGGGAGCAAACA
This 756-nucleotide ribosomal RNA is filed under the name uncultured Spirochaeta sp. Its description in RNAcentral is "bacterial SSU rRNA". It matches the Rfam family "Bacterial small subunit ribosomal RNA", at positions 28 to 774 of the family's 1533-position model. The record is from RNAcentral. Lineage: Bacteria; Pseudomonadati; Spirochaetota; Spirochaetia; Spirochaetales; Spirochaetaceae.